RNAcentral lists this long non-coding RNA (643 nucleotides) under Callithrix jacchus (white-tufted-ear marmoset). Its description in RNAcentral is "lncRNA (ENSCJAG00000086531.1)". The record is from RNAcentral. Lineage: Eukaryota; Metazoa; Chordata; Mammalia; Primates; Cebidae.
GAAGCUCGCGGGGUGUCUUCCUGUGGCAUCCCAGGGGGUGCAGGGACGGAGCAGCUUCGGGGGCAGGUCCUCGUAAAUCCUGUGGAGGGCGCUGACCCGGCGCCCCAGGCUUCGAGGUCAGAAAUCGGUUCCCUCUGGGGACCUGCGGGGACGAGAGCGCUCUGGCCCCUGAAGUGCGAAGUUGCAUCUUUAUUGGGGUCCGGGAUUCCGCGCCUGGCGCUGUCUCCAGCCUGGUGGCGGGCAAGCCUGGCGUGCCAGGUCCAGGAUGCGCUAGAGGAGCGUUUGCAGCCGUCACUGAAUCGCCUGAGGACUAGCGGGGCAAGCCUGAAAUUAACCGCAGCGUUUGCAACAGGGUCUCACUCUGCUGCCCAGCCUGGAGUGUGGUCACAUGAUCUCAGCUCACUGCAGCCUCUACCUCCUGGCUCAAGUGAUCCUCUCACCUCAGCUCGUGAGUAGCUGUGACUAUAGGCAUGUGCCACCAUUGUCUGGCUAAUUUUUAUAUUUUUUGUAGAGAUGAGGAUUAUUCAACAUGUUUCCCAGGUUGGUGUGGAACUCCUGGGCUCAAGUAGUCUGCCUGCUUCAGCCUCUCAGAGUGCUGGGAUUACAGGUGUGACCAUCCCCACCUGGCUUGUGAUUCACUUUU